GAUGAAGAACGUAGCGAAAUGCGAUACGUAAUGUGAAUUGCAGAAUUCAGUGAAUCAUCGAGUCUUUGAACGCACAUUGCGCCCCCUGGUAUUCCGGGGGGCAUGCCUGUCCGAGCGUCAUUACAACCCUCAAGCUCAGCUUGGUAUUGGGCCCCGCCGACCCGGCGGGCCCUAAAGUCAGUGGCGGUGCCGUCCGGCUCCGAGCGUAGUAAUUCUUCUCGCUCUGGAGGUCCGGUCGUGUGCUCGCCAGCAACCCCCAAUUUUUUUCAGGUUGACCUCGGAUCAGGUAGGGAUACCCGCUGAACUUAAGCAUAUCAAUAAGCGGAGGA
Molecule: unclassified non-coding RNA, 329 nt
Filed under: soil metagenome
Description: partial contains 5.8S ribosomal RNA, internal transcribed spacer 2, and large subunit ribosomal RNA
Rfam family: 5.8S ribosomal RNA (bases 1-120)
Source: RNAcentral